GCUCAGAGGUUUAGAGAAGAAUCUCCUUCAGAGCCUCAGCCCCAUGACCCAUGGCCAGGCGAUGUGGUAAAUAUGAUGUGAAGCUGGACAUGGAACAGUGAUCAGAGCCCCUCCAUCAAUGAAUAUGGUAUCCAAAAGUGGUCUAGGUUCCUCAUAUUAGUCAGGAUACAAAAACUGCUAUUGUGAAACAAUAACUUCAAAUCUCGAUGCUUCACCUGAUAAUAGGUUUAGCUUUUGCUCAUGCAAUAGUCUAAUUGUGUGUCCCAAGAGUGACCUCCCACGUGGUCAUUUAGAGGCCCUAGUGGUUCCAUGAUGCCAGGGACACCGAGAAUCCUCAUCUGGAUCCU
Kogia breviceps (pygmy sperm whale) is the source of this 347-nucleotide non-coding RNA. The record is from RefSeq and is a predicted model, not a curated record. NCBI's taxonomy places the organism in Eukaryota, Metazoa, Chordata, Mammalia, Artiodactyla, Physeteridae.